This is a non-coding RNA of Hipposideros armiger (great roundleaf bat), 479 nucleotides long. Lineage: Eukaryota; Metazoa; Chordata; Mammalia; Chiroptera; Hipposideridae. The record is from the annotation of a RefSeq genome assembly.
GGUUGAGGCUUGCUAGUAACUGUUGUGCUGAGGCUGGGACGUCCCUAGACCUGUGAACAGACAUUGAUCCUGAACUCUGAGACCCAGAACCCCAGUUUUCACUUGAACUAUGAGACCAGUAACAGGAAUAACCGUUCUCCUGACCUUGGGUAUUAUGGGCGAUGCAAAGUCCACACAGCCAGCUGCAGUGGAGAGUACUGAAGGACAACCUGUGCACCUGCCCUGUGACCACUCCACAAUCAGUGGAAGUGACUACAUAUUCUGGUAUCGACAGAUCCCUCACCAAGGUCCAGAGCAUGUGAUUAACAGUGUCUCACUAAAACAGGUGACAACAACCCUGUUUGCCCCCAAGUCUUGCUUCCUUUGGACCCAGGGAAGUACCCAGGCUCUGGUUAUUACAUCAUAUUAGCUAUUCCAACUUCUGAAAAAACUGAAAUUAAUUUCAGAAACUAAUUUAUUUGACCUUAAGAAAAAUUGGA